Molecule: ribosomal RNA, 497 nt
Filed under: uncultured bacterium
Lineage: Bacteria
Description: partial 16S ribosomal RNA
Rfam family: Bacterial small subunit ribosomal RNA
Source: RNAcentral
GAUGAACGCUGGCGGCGUGCCUAAUACAUGCAAGUCGAGCGAACGGACGAGAAGCUUGCUUCUCUGAUGUUAGCGGCGGACGGGUGAGUAACACGUGGAUAACCUACCUAUAAGACUGGGAUAACUUCGGGAAACCGGAGCUAAUACCGGAUAAUAUUUUGAACCGCAUGAUUCAAAAGUGAAAGACGGUCUUGCUGUCACUUAUAGAUGGAUCCGCGCUGCAUUAGCUAGUUGGUAAGGUAACGGCUUACCAAGGCAACGAUGCAUAGCCGACCUGAGAGGGUGAUCGGCCACACUGGAACUGAGACACGGUCCAGACUCCUACGGGAGGCAGCAGUAGGGAAUCUUCCGCAAUGGGCGAAAGCCUGAUGGAGCAACGCCGCGUGAGUGAUGAAGGUCUUCGGAUCGUAAAACUCUGUUAUUAGGGAAGAACAUAUGUGUAAGUAACUGUGCACAUCUUGACGGUACCUAAUCAGAAAGCCACGGCUAACUACGUG